GAGUAAUUAGUUCAAAUGGUAGAGCAUUUCGUUUACAUUGAAAAAGUUAAUGGUUCGAGUCCAUUAUUACUCA
RNAcentral lists this transfer RNA (73 nucleotides) under Gelidium kathyanniae. RNAcentral's name for it is "tRNA-Val". It matches the Rfam family "tRNA". Rfam says of the family: Transfer RNA (tRNA) molecules are approximately 80 nucleotides in length. Lineage: Eukaryota; Rhodophyta; Florideophyceae; Gelidiales; Gelidiaceae. The record is from RNAcentral.